RNAcentral lists this small RNA (127 nucleotides) under Marmota monax (woodchuck). Lineage: Eukaryota; Metazoa; Chordata; Mammalia; Rodentia; Sciuridae. The record is from RNAcentral.
GCUGGGUGCAGUAGUGCACACCUGUAAUCCCAGCAGCUCAGGAGACUGAGGCAGGAGAUUGUGGAUUGGAAGCCAGCCUCAGCAACAUGGUUGAGUUGCUAAGCAACUCAAUGAGACCCUGUCUCUA